AGCGAACGCUGGCGGCAGGCCUAAUACAUGCAAGUCGAGCGCACCUUCGGGUGAGCGGCGGACGGGUGAGUAACGCGUGGGAAUGUGCCCUUUGGUACGGAACAACUGAGGGAAACUUCAGCUAAUACCGUAUGGUGCCCUUCGGGGGAAAGAUUUAUCGCCAUUGGAGCAGCCCGCGUUGGAUUAGGUAGUUGGUGAGGUAAAGGCUCACCAAGCCUACGAUCCAUAGCUGGUC
Molecule: ribosomal RNA, 235 nt
Filed under: uncultured bacterium
Lineage: Bacteria
Description: partial 16S ribosomal RNA
Rfam family: Bacterial small subunit ribosomal RNA
Source: RNAcentral